CAAGUGGAACUAGUUAGCGCU
RNAcentral lists this microRNA (21 nucleotides) under Picea abies (Norway spruce). RNAcentral's name for it is "pab-miR11450". Lineage: Eukaryota; Viridiplantae; Streptophyta; Pinopsida; Pinales; Pinaceae. The record is from miRBase by way of RNAcentral.